RNAcentral lists this ribosomal RNA (441 nucleotides) under uncultured bacterium. Its description in RNAcentral is "partial 16S ribosomal RNA". It matches the Rfam family "Bacterial small subunit ribosomal RNA", at positions 339 to 795 of the family's 1533-position model. The record is from RNAcentral.
CUACGGGUGGCAGCAGUGGGGAAUAUUGGGCAAUGGGCGCAAGCCUGACCCAGCAACGCCGCGUGAGGGAAGAAUGUCUUCGGAUUGUAAACCUCUGUCCUUAGGGACAAAAAAAAUGACGGUACCUAAGGAGGAAGCUCCGGCUAACUACGUGCCAGCAGCCGCGGUAAUACGUAGGGAGCAAGCGUUGUCCGGAAUUAUGGGCGUAAAGGGUGCGUAGGCGGUAAUCCAAGUCAGAUGUGAAAGACCCGGGCUUAACUCGGGAGGUGCAUUUGAAACUGGGUUACUUGAGUACAGGAGAGGUAAGUGGAAUUCCUAGUGUAGCGGUGAAAUGCGUAGAUAUUAGGAGGAACACCAGUGGCGAAGGCGACUUACUGGACUGUCACUGACGCUGAGGCACGAAAGCGUGGGGAGCAAACAGGAUUAGAUACCCCCGUAGUC